This 274-nucleotide ribosomal RNA is filed under the name uncultured bacterium. RNAcentral describes it as "partial 16S ribosomal RNA". It matches the Rfam family "Bacterial small subunit ribosomal RNA", at positions 79 to 353 of the family's 1533-position model. The record is from RNAcentral.
CUUUCUUUGCUGGCGACCGGCGCACGGGUGAGUAACACGUAUCCAACCUGCCCUUUACUCGGGGAUAGCCUUUCGAAAGAAAGAUUAAUACCCGAUAGCAUAAUGAUUCCGCAUGGUUCAUUAUUAAAGGAUUCCGGUAAAGGAUGGGGAUGCGUUCCAUUAGGUUGUUGGUGAGGUAACGGCUCACCAAGCCUUCGAUGGAUAGGGGUUCUGAGAGGAAGGUCCCCCACAUUGGAACUGAGACACGGUCCAAACUCCUACGGGAGGCAGCAUG